RNAcentral lists this ribosomal RNA (277 nucleotides) under uncultured bacterium. RNAcentral's name for it is "partial 16S ribosomal RNA". It matches the Rfam family "Bacterial small subunit ribosomal RNA", at positions 335 to 604 of the family's 1533-position model. The record is from RNAcentral.
UGUCCUACGGGACGCAGCAGUAGGGAAUCUUCCGCAAUGGACGAAAGUCUGACGGAGCAACGCCGCGUGAGUGAAGAAGGUUUUCGGAUCGUAAAACUCUGUUGUUAAAGAAGAACAAGGAUGAGAGUAACUGCUCAUCCCCUGACGGUAUUUAACCAGAAAGCCACGGCUAACUACGUGCCAGCAGCCGCGGUAAUACGUAGGUGGCGAGCGUUGUCCGGAUUUAUUGGGCGUAAAGCGAGCGCAGGCGGUUCUUUAAGUCUGAUGUGCAAGCCCC